Molecule: ribosomal RNA, 498 nt
Filed under: uncultured bacterium
Lineage: Bacteria
Description: partial 16S ribosomal RNA
Rfam family: Bacterial small subunit ribosomal RNA
Source: RNAcentral
GACGAACGCUGGCGGCGUGCCUAAUACAUGCAAGUCGAGCGGACGAAUCGAAAGCUUGCUUUUGAUUCGUUAGCGGCGGACGGGUGAGUAACACGUGGGCAACCUGCCCUGUAGACGGGGAUAACACCGAGAAAUCGGUGCUAAUACCGGAUAACACGAAAUGUCGCAUGACGUUUCGUUGAAAGACGGCGCAAGCUGCCGCUACAGGAUGGGCCCGCGGCGCAUUAGCUAGUUGGUGAGGUAACGGCUCACCAAGGCGACGAUACGUAGCCGACCUGAGAGGGUGAUCGGCCACACUGGGACUGAGACACGGCCCAGACUCCUACGGGAGGCAGCAGUAGGGAAUCUUCCGCAAUGGACGAAAGUCUGACGGAGCAACGCCGCGUGAGCGAAGAAGGCCUUCGGGUCGUAAAGCUCUGUUGUUAGGGAAGAGCAAGUAACGCAGUAACUGGCGUUACCGUGACGGUACCUAACGAGAAAGCCACGGCUAACUACGUG